This 133-nucleotide small RNA is filed under the name Arabidopsis thaliana (thale cress). RNAcentral describes it as "ATSL146140". Lineage: Eukaryota; Viridiplantae; Streptophyta; Magnoliopsida; Brassicales; Brassicaceae. The record is from RNAcentral.
AUCGGGUAUUGAGAACGGAGGCGGAGAUCGGAGAGAAGAUUACGUCGCCGGAGAUCGGCGGAGGAGUAAAAAGCGGAGGACGGAGAGAAAAAGGGAUAAAAUAAAGAGAGAGAUAUGAAGGGGAUGCGAAAAU